GAUGAACGCUGGCGGCGUGCCUAAUACAUGCAAGUCGAGCGAACAGACGAGGAGCUUGCUCCUUUGACGUUAGCGGCGGACGGGUGAGUAACACGUAGUCAACCUACCUAUAAGACUGGGAUAACUUCGGGAAACCGGAGCUAAUACCGGAUAAUAUUUCGAACCGCAUGGUUCGAUAGUGAAAUAUGGCUUUUCUAUCACUUAUAGAUUGACCUGCGCCGGAUUAGCUAGUUGGUAAGGUAACGGCUUACCAAGGCAACGAUACGUAGCCGACCUGAGAGCGUGGUCGGACAGACGGGAAGUGAGACAGGGUCGAGACACCUACAGUAGGCCGCAGUAGGGAAUCUUACGCGAUGGGGGAGAGGCUGACAGUGCACAACGGCGUGAGGGAUGAAGGAGUUCGGAUCGGAGAGUUAUGUUAUUAGGAGGGAACAAAAGUGUAAGUAACUGUGAACAUAUUGACAGUACCGGGACAAAAAGCCACGGCUAACUACGUG
This 497-nucleotide ribosomal RNA is filed under the name uncultured bacterium. RNAcentral's name for it is "partial 16S ribosomal RNA". It matches the Rfam family "Bacterial small subunit ribosomal RNA", at positions 28 to 507 of the family's 1533-position model. The record is from RNAcentral.